Long non-coding RNA from Gastrolobium bilobum, 867 nucleotides. RefSeq lists it as uncharacterized. The record is from RefSeq and is a predicted model, not a curated record. The transcript is spliced from 4 exons. NCBI's taxonomy places the organism in Eukaryota, Viridiplantae, Streptophyta, Magnoliopsida, Fabales, Fabaceae.
CUGACACCCAAAUCCCUCUUCAACCACGUCGCUCCAUUUCCCGAUUCCGGCGACCACCUUUACUCCGCCGCCAACCUCCUCCUUCAAAGCCGCCAGAAGCUCCGCCCUAUCAGGUCCAACGGAGGCCCACCUCCCUCCGGUUUCCAUCCCUGCUCCGAUUCAACUCAGCAUCCGGGUCACCCUCUAGAACCAUCGCUCCAGAUGCAGGUCGGGUCAUGCCCCGUUUCCCUCGGGGCAGGAAUCUGGAUGCACACAGUCUAGUUGACGUUGUUAAAAUGGAUUAGGACAAAGGGGUUGAGGAUAUGGGAUAAGAACUUUGGCUAUUUAAUAUCAGUGGCUGUUAACCCAAAGCAAUCUUGGGAUUCUCCCUGUCAUUCGUGUCAAAGUUUCUAAUUGAAGCCUGAUAUUCAAUUAUUUGGAUGAUGAAGUAAUAGAAUAUAACAAUUUUGAGGACGAGGAAUGAGGACUCUAGAAGAAAUUCAAUUGGAGCUUAACGCAUUACAAAGCACAAAGAACUUCCCCCACCACGGACAGUUUCAAAUUGUUUUAUAAUGCUCCUGAUGAAGAAGAUGGUCAGAGACAGAGAAAAAUGCCAAGGAGGGUUCAAGUCAAGUCGAACCUUGAUCAGAGAGAAAUAUUUCAAGUUCACUCACUUAAAAUCAUUAUUCAUGUGUAUGAAGACGAGGCUUCUGAUUCCAAGUUUGCAAAGCUUAGCACUCUUAGGUUUGGGUACUUGGUGAAGUUGAAUAUUAUAUGUAUUGUAAAAGAAGGAUUGUGUAUUGAUAUGAAGUUCAAAAAUGAUUUAGAGGAAAUUGUUUCUUGAAUUAUGAAGUCAUUUUUACAUUGUGUAUUGAUGUGUUAAUUUUG